UACGUAGGGGGCAAGCGUUAUCCGGAUUUACUGGGUGUAAAGGGUGCGUAGGUGGCAUGAUAAGUUAGAUGUGAAAACCCAAGGCUCAACCUUGGGAUUGCAUCUAAAACUGUCAAGCUAGAGUGCAGGAGAGGAAAGCGGAAUUCCUAGUGUAGCGGUGAAAUGCGUAGAUAUUAGGAGGAACACCAGUAGCGAAGGCGGCUUUCUGGACUGUAACUGACACUGAGGCACGAAAGCGUGGGUAGCGAACAGGAUUAGAUACC
Molecule: ribosomal RNA, 263 nt
Filed under: uncultured bacterium
Lineage: Bacteria
Description: partial 16S ribosomal RNA
Rfam family: Bacterial small subunit ribosomal RNA
Source: RNAcentral